UACGUAGGUCCCGAGCGUUGUCCGGAUUUAUUGGGCGUAAGGCGAGCGCAGGUGGUUUAUUAAGUCUGGUGUAAAAGGCAGUGGCUCAACCAUUGUAUGCAUUGGAAACUGGUAAACUUGAGUGCAGGAGAGGAGAGUGGAAUUCCAUGUGUAGCGGUGAAAUGCGUAGAUAUAUGGAGGAACACCGGUGGCGAAAGCGGCUCUCUGGCCUGCAACUGACACUGAGGCUCGAAAGCGUGGGGAGCAAACAGG
RNAcentral lists this ribosomal RNA (252 nucleotides) under uncultured bacterium. RNAcentral's name for it is "partial 16S ribosomal RNA". It matches the Rfam family "Bacterial small subunit ribosomal RNA", at positions 524 to 776 of the family's 1533-position model. The record is from RNAcentral.